This 497-nucleotide ribosomal RNA is filed under the name uncultured bacterium. Its description in RNAcentral is "partial 16S ribosomal RNA". It matches the Rfam family "Bacterial small subunit ribosomal RNA", at positions 28 to 507 of the family's 1533-position model. The record is from RNAcentral.
GAUGAACGCUGGCGGCGUGCCUAAUACAUGCAAGUCGAGCGAACAGACGAGGAGCUUGCUCCUCCGACGUUAGCGGCGGACGGGUGAGUAACACGUGGAUAACCUACCUAUAAGACUGGGAUAACUUCGGGAAACCGGAGCUAAUACCGGAUAAUAUAUUGAACCGCAUGGUUCAAUAGUGAAAGACGGUGUUGCUGUCACUUAUAGAUGGAUCCGCGCCGCAUUAGCUAGUUGGUAAGGUAACGGCUUACCAAGGCGACGAUGCGUAGCCGACCUGAGAGGGUGAUCGGCCACCCUGGAACUGAGCCACGGUCCAGACUCCUACGGGAGGCAGCAGUAGGGAAUCUUCCGCAAUGGGCGAAAGCCUGACGGAGCACCGCCGCGUGAGUGAUGAUGCUCUUCGGAUCGUAAAACUCUGUUAUUAGGGAAGAACAAAUGUGUAAGUAACUAUGCACGUCUUGACGGUACCUAAUCAGAAAGCCACGGCUAACUACGUG